Molecule: non-coding RNA, 191 nt
Organism: Blepharisma stoltei
Lineage: Eukaryota; Ciliophora; Heterotrichea; Heterotrichida; Blepharismidae
Source: the annotation of a GenBank genome assembly
AUACCUUCUCGGCCUUUUGGCUAAGAUCAAGUGUAGUAUCUGUUCUUAUCAGUGUGAAAACUGGUAUCCACCCUACUGGGUGGCGUUUUUCACAUCAAUUUUUUAUUGGGAGCGAGGCAUCCCCAGCUUGCUGGGACCUUGCAACGGGUUGCCCUUGUAUUGCACUUACCUCAAGGAGCGGCCCACCCCAU